RNAcentral lists this ribosomal RNA (506 nucleotides) under uncultured bacterium. Its description in RNAcentral is "bacterial SSU rRNA". It matches the Rfam family "Bacterial small subunit ribosomal RNA", at positions 28 to 521 of the family's 1533-position model. The record is from RNAcentral.
GACGAACGCUGGCGGCGUGGAUUAGGCAUGCAAGUCGAACGGUAUCAUCCUUUCGGGGGUGAGAGAGUGGCGAACUGGUGAGUAACACGUAGGUUAUCUACCCUCAAGACGGGGACAACCCAGGGAAACUUGGGCUAAUACCGGAUGUGAGCAACUUUUAGUUGUUUGAAAGGUGGCGUAAGCUGUCGCUUGGGGAUGAGCCUGCGUCCUAUUAGUUAGUUGGUGAGGUAACGGCUCACCUAGGCAAUGAUAGGUAGGCGGCCUUAACGGGUGGUCGCCCACACUUGGGAUUGAGAUACGGCCCAGACUCCUACGGGAGCAGCAGUCGAGAAUAGUCUACAAUGGUCGGAAGACUGAUAGUGCGACGCCGCGUGAACGAUGAAUCCCUUCGGGGUGUAAAGUUCUUUUAUAUGUGAGCAGUGCUUCUUAUAUUAACAGUAAUGGGGAAGGAGAUAUUAGCAUAUGAAUAAAGCAAACGGCUAAACUCCGUGCCCAGCAGCCGCGGU